GAGUUUGAUCCUGGCUCAGGAUGAAUGCUGGCGGCGUGUCUAAGGCAUGCAAGUCGUGCAGAUCAUUUUUCGUCGCAAGACGAGAAAUGGUUAGCGGCAAACGGGUGCGUAACACAUUGGCAAUCUGCCUCACAGUCGGGCAUAAGCCCUCGAAAGGGGGUCUAAUUCCACGAUGGCCAUGCGGGGACAAAUGUCAUUCGCAUGUAAAGCGCAAAACGCGCUGUGAGAGGAGCCUAUGGCCUAUCAGCUAGUUGGCGGGGUAAUAGCCCACCAAGGCGAUGACGGGUAGGGGAUGUGAGAGCAUGAUCCCCCUCACUGGGACUGAGACACUGCCCAGACACCUACGGGUGGCUGCAGUCGAGAAUAUUCCUCAAUGGCCGAAAGGCUGAAGGAGCGACGCCGCGUGCAGGAUGAAGGCCUUCGGGUCGUAAACUGCUUUUACCAGGGACGAACACUGACGGUACCUGGAGAAUAAGAGGUUGCUAACUCUGUGCCAGCAGCAGCGGUAAUACAGAGACCUCAAGCAUUAUCCGGAUUUAUUGGGCGUAAAGGGUCCGCAGGUGGCCCGGUGCGUCUUGCGUCAAAUGUUGGGGCUUAACCCCGACACUGUGCGAGAUACGAUCGGGCUAGAGCAUGGGAGAGGUAAGCGGAAUUGCCGGUGUAGUAGUAAUAUGCGUUAAUAUCGGCAAGAACACCAAAUGCGAAGGCAGCUUACUGGAACAUUGCUGACACUCAGGGACGAAAGCGUGGGGAGCGAAAGGGAUUAGAUACCCCUGUAGUCCACGCCCUAAACGAUGGAUGCUAGAUAUUGGGAGUAUCGACCCUCCCAGUGUCGGUUAAAAUAGCAAACGCAUUAAGCAUCCCGCCUGGGAAGUACGGUCGCAAGACUAAAACUCAAAGGAAUAGACGGGGACCCGCACAAGCGGAGGAGCAUGUGGUUUAAUUCGACGGUAAGCGAAAAACCUUACCCAGGUUUGACAUGUAGCUGCAAGCCGCUGGAAACAGUGGCCGCCUUCGAGGGUGCUACACAGGUGCUGCAUGGUUGUCGUCAGCUCGUGUCGUGAGAUGUACCGUUAAGUCGGAUAACGAGCGCAACCCUUGUCCUCUGUUGCCAUCACGUUAUGGUGGGCACUCUGGGGAGACUGCCGGUGAUAAACCGGAGGAAGGUGGGGAUGACGUCAAGUCAGCAUGGCCUUUAUGUCUGGGGCUACACACGUGCUACAAUGGCCGGUACAAAGCGUCGCGAUCUCGCGAGAGGGAGCUAAUCGCAGAAAGCCGGUCUCAGUUCGGAUCGUAGGCUGCAACUCGCCUGCGUGAAGUCGGAAUCGCUAGUAAUCGCGGAUCAGCAUGCCGCGGUGAUACGUUCCCGGGCCUUGCACACAC
RNAcentral lists this ribosomal RNA (1383 nucleotides) under uncultured bacterium. RNAcentral's name for it is "bacterial SSU rRNA". It matches the Rfam family "Bacterial small subunit ribosomal RNA". The record is from RNAcentral.